GAGGUAGUGACAAGAAAUAACAAUACAAGGCAAUUAAAAUGCUUUGUAAUUGGAAUGAUAGAAAUUUAAACACUUUUUAAAGUAUCAAUUGGAGGGCAAGUCUGGUGCCAGCAGCCGCGGUAAUUCCAGCUCCAAUAGCGUAUAUUAAAAUUGUUGCAGUUAAAAAGCUCGUAGUUGAAUUUCUGUUAAAAAUAACCGGUYUGCUUUUUUUAUUAAAAGUUGUAYCAUUUUGGUGUGUUUUUAACAAUAAUAAUGUCCUUUGAAAAUGUUUUUUACUUUAUUGUAAUAAGUCAUUGUUUUGAGGAUUUUUACUUUGAGAAAAUUAGAGUGUUUUUAGCAGGCUUUUACGCUUUUGAAUACUGCAGCAUGGAAUAAUAAGAURGGAUUUUAGUUCUACAUUAUUGGUUUUAAGAACURAAUUAAUGAUUGAUAGGGAUAGUUGGGGGCAUUUGUAUUUAACUGUCAGAGGUGAAAUUCUUAGAUUUGUUAAAGACAAACUAUUGCGAAAGCAYUUGCCAAAGAUGUUUUCAUUAAUCAAGAACGAAAGUUAGGGGAUCGAAGA
This 562-nucleotide ribosomal RNA is filed under the name Hepatozoon americanum. RNAcentral describes it as "partial 18S ribosomal RNA". It matches the Rfam family "Eukaryotic small subunit ribosomal RNA", at positions 463 to 1015 of the family's 1831-position model. The record is from RNAcentral. Lineage: Eukaryota; Apicomplexa; Hepatozoidae.